Molecule: ribosomal RNA, 2000 nt
Filed under: freshwater metagenome
Description: bacterial LSU rRNA
Rfam family: Bacterial large subunit ribosomal RNA
Source: RNAcentral
UCACGAUAUUAAGGGCGCAUGGAGGAUGCCUUGGUUCUUGAAGGCGAUGAAGGACGUGAUAAGCUGCGAUAAGCUUCGGGGAGAUGCAAAUAAUCUUUGAUCCGAAGAUUUCCGAAUAGGUAAACCCCACUAACUAAGGUUAGUGACCCAUAGUGGAGCAAACCCAGGGAACUGAAACAUCUAAGUACCUGGAGGAAGAGAAAACAAUAGUGAUUCCCCUAGUAGUGGCGAGCGAAAAGGGAAGAGCCCAAACCGUUUCUGUUAAGGCAGAAGCGGGGUUGUAGGACUUCAACAUGAUAUGUAAUUUUAAGCUGAAGUAUCUGGAAAGAUACACCAUAGAGAGUGAUAGUCUCGUAAGCGUAAGAAUUGCAUUGAUAGAAGUAUCCUGAGUACCGCGAGGUCGGAGACGCCUUGUGGGAAUCAGCCGGCACCAUCCGGUAAGGCUAAAUACUCUCAAGAAACCGAUAGUGAACCAGUACUGUGAAGGAAAGGUGAAAAGAACCGCGAACAGCGGAGUGAAAUAGAACCUGAAACCAUGCGCUUACAAGCGGUCGGAGUCCUACGGGAUGACGGCGUGCCUUUUGCAUAAUGAACCUACGAGUUACUCCUCACUGGCAAGGUUAAUCCCGUUAACGGGAGGAGCCGCAGCGAAAGCAAGUCUGAAUAGGGCGUAUAGUCAGUGGGGGUAGACGCGAAACCUUGUGAUCUACCCAUGACCAGGAUGAAGUGGCGGUAACACGCCAUGGAGGUCCGAACUGGUGGACGUUGAAAAGUCCUCGGAUGAGUUGUGGGUAGGGGUGAAAGGCUAAUCAAACUGGGAAAUAGCUCGUACUCCCCGAAAUGUUUUUAGGAACAGCCUCGUGGUCGAGUGUCGCAGAGGUAGAGCUACUAAUUGGGCUAGGGGGCUUCACCGCCUACCAAACCCAGAUAAACUCCGAAUGCUGACGACAUAUACACGGGAGUGAGCCCUUGGGUGCUAAGGUCCGAGGGCGAGAGGGAAACAACCCAGACCAACAGCUAAGGUCCCUAAAUGUACGCUAAGUUGAUAAAACGUGGUCCGAUUGCAUUGACAGCUAGGAUGUUUGCUUGGAAGCAGCAAUUCAUUUAAAGAGUGCGUAACAGCUCACUAGUCGAGCGAUCGGGCGUGGAUAAUAAUCGGGCAUAAAGUGUACUACCGAAGCUUUGGACUCUGCUAUGCAGAGUGGUAGGGGAGCAUUCUAGUUGCGCAGAAGGUGUUUCGUGAGGAAUGCUGGAGCGACUAGAAAAGCAAAUGUAGGUAUAAGUAACGAUAAGGCAGGUGAGAAACCUGCCCACCGAAAGACUAAGGUUUCCUGAUCAACGCUAAUCGGAUCAGGGUCAGUCUGGACCUAAGAGGUAGCCGAAUGGCGAACUCGAUGGACAACAGGUUAAUAUUCCUGUACUUUUAAUGGUAGUGAUGGAGUGACGGAGAAGUGAAAGGUCUGCGUACUGACGGAUUAGUACGUUAAAGCCCGUAGAUAUAGAUGCUGUAGGUAAAUCCGCAGCGUUUGUCGAAGGUGAUAGUACCGCGAGUCUUCGGACAAGUGGAUAAUGACCCUAAUCAGGCUCCCGAGAAAAACUUCUAAACUUAAUACCAUUGAAACCAGUACCGCAAACCGACACAGGUAGUCGAGGAGAGAAUCCUAAGGUGCUUGAGUGAUCCAUGGCUAAGGAACUCGGCAAAUUAACCCUGUAACUUCGGGAAAAAGGGUGCCCCGAGCAAUCGGGGCCGCAGUGAAAUGGCCCAGGCGACUGUUUAACAAAAACACAUGGCUUUGCUAAAUCGAAAGAUGAUGUAUAAGGCCUGACACCUGCCCGGUGCUGGAAGGUUAAGAGGAGAUGUCAUUCGCAAGAAGAAGCAUUGAAUUGAAGCCCCAGUAAACGGCGGCCGUAACUAUAACGGUCCUAAGGUAGCGAAAUUCCUUGUCGGGUAAGUUCCGACCUGCACGAAUGGUGUAACGAUCUGGGCACUGUCUCAGCCA